UAGGGAAUCUUCCGCAAUGGGCGAAAGCCUGACGGAGCAAUGCCGCGUGAGUGAUGAAGGUUUUCGGAUCGUAAAGCUCUGUUGCCAGGGAAGAACGCUUGGGAGAGUAACUGCUCUCAAGGUGACGGUACCUGAGAAGAAAGCCCCGGCUAACUAC
RNAcentral lists this ribosomal RNA (157 nucleotides) under Paenibacillus sp. 1c. RNAcentral's name for it is "partial 16S ribosomal RNA". It matches the Rfam family "Bacterial small subunit ribosomal RNA", at positions 355 to 504 of the family's 1533-position model. The record is from RNAcentral. Lineage: Bacteria; Bacillati; Bacillota; Bacilli; Caryophanales; Paenibacillaceae.